UCGGUUGGCUAAGUGUUAAUAUAGGUCUCUUAAGCUACAGAACAGUAUUGUUAUUCGUUAGAAAAUUAAUAUAUUCAAGAAAGAUUCGGUCUCAUAUCCUUUUUUUUUUUAAAUAACUUAGGUCUCCUUAUAGAACACGACAGAGUAGCUUUUAAAUAAAAUGCGAGAAAAAAUAAACAGGAGAAAAUGUACAAUAACCUACACGUGAAGAAACUUUCUGUAUUAAAAAGAAGCGAUAAGAAAGUGGUGGCAAGGUUCGACGAAAUCGAUGACACCUCGUCUCGGUUCCGUACAAACACAGUUUGAAGAUGAAUGGCGUUAGUGUACCAAUAAUAACUCCUGAGUCUGCGCGAGCCAGUACACCGAUAUCCUCAAGUGUAAACGACAACCAGAACAUGAACAGCGAAAAUCCUGGCACACAAGGUUACGAAUAAGGACAACAACGCCCUGUGGACAAAAAGAGUUAAACACGAGAGAUCACGCUAUGCUUGAACAAUUCUGAAACCAUAAAACCGAACAAAAAUAAUGGAAGAGACGAUCAGCGACGACGAAUACGAAACCGAAGAAGAUGAGCAGCAUUCAUUAACAAGAAGAGUCCUUACAAAUUGCUCGAUACUGAAGGAACCAUGAUAUCUAGACGAUCAUGUUAUGUUAGCGAUAGAAUUUGUCAACGGAUCGGAAGAUCUAGAAACGUUUAAAACUGCUAUGAACAGCAAAGAAAGAGCUAAAUAGAGGGAAACCAUGAAUGUGGAAAUGUUCUCCCUACAAAAAAAUUAGAUAUGAAAGUUAAUGGAUCUACCAAGGAAUGUGAAUGUGGUACCGUGAAAAUGAACUAUUCGAGUGAAAAGAAAUCCCGAUGACACGAUCGACAAAUACAAGGCAAGGUUAAUCAUUAAAGGAUUCAAUCAGUGUUAAAACAUAGACUACAGCCAAACGUUUAGCCCAAUUGUAGGGUUAGCCUACUCAGUAAAAGUUUGUAUAGGCUGAAAUAGGUCUCAAAAACAAGCGUUUUGCAGAAUUGCUCGUGAAACUGGGAUUUCAAACAAGCGAUGUUGAAUCUCGUUUGUACAUCCGAGAUAAGAAUGGCAAGGAAUUCAUACUCAUCCUAUAUGUAGAUGACGGAUUGCUAGGAACAACCGAUCCAGAAGAAUUAAUUUUUAUGUAAAACGUAAAAGAUUGUACGGUAACAUAGUAGGUUCAUAAAAGAAAUUAAAUUCGUAAGAUGAUUAUGCAAAAUCCAAAAAUACGUAAGUGCCCGAAUAUUUAUCAACAGAGUAUGUAGUGUACAUCAAAUAUAUUUAAUGGUUUCACAGAGAAAAUAUUUUUUAAGUCUGAUUUUUUACUUUUCUUCGUAAGCAAAUGCAUAAAUGAUAUGCAAAUAUUACAUUUUUUUCUAUUAUGGAUAUGAGAAGUUAAAUUAAUAAUAAAUAAAAUUUAGGUUAUUGUGGAAACUAAUGGUUUUUUUUUCAUUAAGAUAGAAACAAAAAGAAACAUAAAUAAUCUACUGAAAGUUGAAAUAAGUAAUAUCUGGUUACUUCUUUCCAUCAAACACAAGAAAUAAACUUUAAUGAAACUAUUUGGGUUUGAAGGAAGCUUGUGCAGAAUAUGAAAUAAAGUCGGAUGAAAAAUCGAUUUGAUACUACAAUUUCGGUUGGGUUAAACGAGAAGCACGUAGCAUAGAUAUCACAAAAGCAACAUCAAUCGUGACAAGACGUUUUAUUCGUAAAUUGUUCACCGAUCAAAAAGUGUUGCAACAACGAUGUACCGGAUAUAUCAAUGAAAUAUCAUAAAUUUCACAUAAAGAAUACUUCAUCAAAGAUGUCUAUCUCAAAUCCGGGCGUUUCUUUGAGAGGUUCUUCGUCAACGCUGCAGUGAUGGAUUUUCGCGUGUACGGACGUAAAAGCGCACCCGGAGUUCCGUUUUUCGAGGAACCAUACUAAUCCAAUUGCAAGUACGACGGCUGAAAUUGGAAUUUAAAAACACGAUUCGAGAGACGCUUUGCUUUUUUGUCAUGUAUCGAGAUAUUUGUGAACGGCCUGUCAGUUUCGGCAAUGAUCUCUAUCUGUACCGGUAGCAAUCUGCUCCAAUGAAAUUAGUGCAAUUUUCAACGAGUUAACUAAAUCAUUCGUAUGUGUUUGUUUAAAUGAAAUCAAUAAUUUCUAAGUCAAAGUCAUAUAGGAUUAGAAUUCUAUAGAAGGUGUUAAUUAUAAUAAUCAACAACCAAAGUUAGUUAGAAAUUAAUUGAUAAUGGACUAAAAUAUACAAAUUAGAAUAUUUUCCAUUUAAAAAUCGGGAUCA
Molecule: long non-coding RNA, 2298 nt
Organism: Bombus pyrosoma
Lineage: Eukaryota; Metazoa; Arthropoda; Insecta; Hymenoptera; Apidae
Exons: 3
Source: RefSeq, a predicted model, not a curated record